This 120-nucleotide ribosomal RNA is filed under the name Triticum aestivum (bread wheat). Its description in RNAcentral is "partial small subunit ribosomal RNA". The record is from RNAcentral. Lineage: Eukaryota; Viridiplantae; Streptophyta; Magnoliopsida; Poales; Poaceae.
AUGGUAUUUAACUCUUUCAUGCUUACUUUAACUAGUUAUUUCGGUUUUCUACUGACUGCUUUAACUAUAACCCCAGCUCUAUUUAUUGGGUUGAACAAAAAUACGCCUUAUUUGAAUUGA